Molecule: long non-coding RNA, 548 nt
Filed under: Vulpes vulpes (red fox)
Lineage: Eukaryota; Metazoa; Chordata; Mammalia; Carnivora; Canidae
Description: lncRNA (ENSVVUG00000003603.1)
Source: RNAcentral
CUGCCCCCUCAGAAAGCGACAUAAUUUCAUCAAAACGCCGCCAGCGCCCGCAGGAAACUACAGCAAAAGGCGCACAGAUGAAGUUGCAGCCUCCACUUGGCAAGGGGUUCCCGCCUCUGCGGAAUGCCAGAGUGCGCAUGCGCACUCCAGAAAGCACACCUGCGCGCGGGCCCCACGGGCCACUGCCUGCCAGCUCCUCUGCUCCUGGACCUGAGAGGGGGCUGGAGAGCUUGCGCAAGCGCAGCACACACACUGGGUUCCAGUGGCUCUGCAGGGCGUUGUGCAAGCCUGUCUCCAUGGAGCCCCAGUUCAGCGGUUCUGCAGGGUGCUGUGCAAGCAUUUCUCUGUGGAGCUGGGUUCCAGUGCAAGCAUGUCUCUGUGGAGCUGGGGUCCAGUGGCUGUGCAGAUAUGGUGCUGGAGAAAGAUCUUAUCUGUCAUAUUUUCCCAAUAGAUUUACCAUGAAAGAAAAAAAUAAUAUAAGCUUGAAAGAAUCCCUUCUAAAGAAUAAUGAAACACUAGAUAUGGAAGGCAAUAAAAUGAUUUUUUGA